This is a long non-coding RNA of Stomoxys calcitrans (stable fly), 1780 nucleotides long. RefSeq lists it as uncharacterized. The transcript is spliced from 3 exons. NCBI's taxonomy places the organism in Eukaryota, Metazoa, Arthropoda, Insecta, Diptera, Muscidae. The record is from RefSeq and is a predicted model, not a curated record.
CACCUCAAAUUAUAAGUUGGUCAAUGCGAAGCGGGCAAAAUGACUUGGCCGCCAUACAUAUCUCAAGGUUCAUUUCAAAUGAAAAGCAUAGCGUCGCCAAACAGGAUGAUUGAUGUACGAUAAACGAACAUGAGGUUUGAUUUACUAAACACUGCCAGCAUUCUUCAAUGAUAAUAGAGGUAUGGUAAACCGCAUCCAAGGUAUGGCCACUUGACAGAAUUCUAGGGAAUUUUCCAAAACGGAUUUGAAUUUGUGCCAAAAUUUGGUAAGUGUUUGUGUCUCUCCAGCAAAAGUGGUUGAAAAUUGAUUUCUAAAUUUCAUGCGAAAAAAAUAUGGUCUAGAAAUGAAUUUAGAUUUACUCAUGGUAAGAGAAAGAACUCUUCGGAAGCAGACAAUAAAAUAAACAAAGCUAAUGAAAUGAUUUUAUGAUGAGCUGAGAAAGGUAAGGCUGAGUGCAGAAGAGAAGGAGAGAGAGAGGGGGAAUUGCAAUCAAACUCACCUUAGGAAAGGUAAAACUUGAAGUUACCGCGAGUAAGAGAGUUGCCAUUGUGCAGAUCUACGAACAUAGAAUAGACUCUGUGACUGAUUUUUAAGUGAGGUUGGGAAUAAAAAAAAUAAAUAAAAAAUGGAUAUGGCAAACAAAUACGUAAAAUAAAUAAUAAACAUAUAUAAAAUUAAGUAAAAUAAAAUAAUUGAAUUUAAACAAGCUAAACCGUGUAAAAUUCGGCCGUGUCGAACUUCGGAUACCCACAACCAUAAAUAUAUAAAUCAUCCUACUUUAUUAUAACUCCACUACCAUAUUUAUAGUUAUAUGCAAGUAGGAGCUGGUCUGGAUCAUAUUUGUGGCAGCUCCCGAUAACUUUAUUCAAGUUACAGUUUCAGAGAAAUUGGGAUUAGAUCCUAAAUUGGAAGAUUGGUCUAAAUGUCAGCUUUAUCUUAACAUAGUCUGAACUGGAUCCUAUGCUGGUCGGAUGAUGGGAGCCUUAAUAAAGGGUGAUUUUUUAGCUAUUAUCUUUUUGGCAACACUUGUUUAAACAGCUCAGACACGUUUCGUGUUUUGUUUCACUGUCAAACAUCUUCAGUUUGGUCUUCAAUUGAACCAUAAAUCCUCCUACAAACGAACUACGCUUACAAAUUAUUGAAUUUUAUUAUCAAAAUGCGUGCUCUGUUAAGAGCACGAAAAUCAUUUUUGGCUCAAUGGGUGCAUAAAUAAGCAGAAUUGUCAAUUUUGGAGCGAAAAUCAGCCAGAAGCAUUGCAAGAGCUACAAAUACAUCUAGAAAAAGUACCAGUUUGGUGCGGUUUAUGGGCUGGUGGCAUCGUUGGGCCGUACUUCCAAAGAUGAUGCGAAUCGUAACGUAACUGUGAGCACUACCGGGAGAUGAUAUGAUAUGACUUGAAAUGACAUGAAAUGAAAUAACAUGAUAUGAUAUGGCAUGACAUGACCUGACCUGAUAUGCAAAUUGCAAAUAUUGCCCAUGAAUAUUCCACUAAGGAACGGGGGCAAACUUCUCACAUAUCAAUCAGUGCUGUCCGAUUCAAGUUUGAGCUCAAUGAUAAGGGACCUCCUUUUUAUAGCCGAGUUCGAACGGCGUGUCGCAGGGCGACGAGAGAAGUUUUACAUGGCAUAGUACCUCACAAAUGUUGUCAGCGUUAGGAGGGGAAAAGUACCAAAACAAAUAAAAGAGUGCUAAGUUCGGCCGGGCCGAAUCUUGGGAAUCUUAUUCUAAAUAACAAACGUCUGUCAAACAAGCAAAAAUUAAAGCUUCUAGGAACCGAACA